Molecule: long non-coding RNA, 774 nt
Organism: Anguilla anguilla (European eel)
Lineage: Eukaryota; Metazoa; Chordata; Actinopteri; Anguilliformes; Anguillidae
Exons: 5
Source: RefSeq, a predicted model, not a curated record
GGGUCUAACCUCUUCAGGUAGUUCAGAGCUUUCCAAUGCCUCGGUAGAAUUAACCUGUACAGCAGAAAGAGCAACAACAGCAGCUGCCACACAGAGAAGACAACUGUGGAGUGCGAGCCUGUUAAAGCAAGAUGGCUCCUCCUGCUCGGUAACUCUAGCUGCUAAGUGAUGUCAGCAGCGGUCAAAGUUCACCGGGGCUCAAGAUGUCCGCCAGAAGCAGUGGGAGGGCACCGGGAGCAGCCACACAGCCCAGGCCGGGCCGGAUCAACCCCGACCUGUGCGUCCUUUCCGACGCUGCCGCUGAUUGGACCAGACGUUCACCUGAGGAUAGAGCCAGGAGCACCAGGGGCCGCUUUUUAGGUUUUUUUUUACCUGCAGGAAUGAAAAUAAAUUAUGGAGAGCACCCGGAGAGGAGCAUUAUUUCAGCUGUUCUAUAACCCAGCACCAGUCUUUAUCUUUCCACGAGAAGUUAUGGAUACACGGCUGAGUAUUAAAUGGAGCGAUGACAACAUUGUCUGGAUAGGCAAUGAAAAAGCAGGAGGAAUUAUUUGGCUGCUGAGGGACAAUGCAAACCGACAGAAUGAAGCCCCCCCCAUUCCCAAGUCUUGGAGACAUCGGUCCCUGGAGGAAAAGGCCCUGUGCUGAUCACCUGAAGCAGAUCGUCUCCUCCAUUGUCCUGUGGGCGCUCCUGGGUGAUGAAGGUCAUCAGCUCCUGCACGCACUGUUGCCUGGCUGAGGAAGAGGAGCAGCCUGCGGUUGUGAGCCUUGCCUCUU